RNAcentral lists this ribosomal RNA (460 nucleotides) under uncultured bacterium. RNAcentral describes it as "partial 16S ribosomal RNA". It matches the Rfam family "Bacterial small subunit ribosomal RNA", at positions 338 to 795 of the family's 1533-position model. The record is from RNAcentral.
CCUACGGGAGACAGCAGUGAGGAAUAUUGGUCAAUGGACGAGAGUCUGAACCAGCCAAGUAGCAUGAAGGAUGACUGCCCUAUGGGUUGUAAACUUCUUUUAUAUGGGAAUAAAAUGUUCCACGUGUGGGAUUUUGUAUGUACCAUAUGAAUAAGGAUCGGCUAACUCCGUGCCAGCAGCCGCGGUAAUACGGAGGAUCCGAGCGUUAUCCGGAUUUAUUGGGUUUAAAGGGAGCGUAGGUGGAUUGUUAAGUCAGUUGUGAAAGUUUGCGGCUCAACCGUAAAAUUGCAGUUGAAACUGGUAGUCUUGAGUACAGUAGAGGUGGGCGGAAUUCGUGGUGUAGCGGUGAAAUGCUUAGAUAUCACGAAGAACUCCGAUUGCGAAGGCAGCUCACUGGACUGCAACUGACACUGAGGCUCGAAAGUGUGGGUAUCAAACAGGAUUAGAUACCCGUGUAGUC